RNAcentral lists this ribosomal RNA (557 nucleotides) under uncultured bacterium. RNAcentral describes it as "bacterial SSU rRNA". It matches the Rfam family "Bacterial small subunit ribosomal RNA", at positions 777 to 1326 of the family's 1533-position model. The record is from RNAcentral.
AAUAGAUACCCGGGUAGUCCACGCCGUAAACGAUGAGUGCUAAGUGUUGGGGGGUUUCCGCCCCUCAGUGGCUGCAGCUAACGCAUUAAGCACCUCCGCCGUGGGGGAGUACGGUCGCAAGACUGAAACUCAAAGGAAUUGGACGGGGGCCCGCACAAGCGGUGGAGCAUGUGGUUUAAUUCGAAGCAACGCGAAGAACCUUACCAGGUCUUGACAUCCCGGUGACCACUAUGGAGACAUAGUUUCCCCGUUCGGGGGCAACGGUGACAGGUGGUGCAUGGUUGUCGUCAGCUCGUGUCGUGAGAUGUUGGGUUAAGUCCCGCAACGAGCGCAACCCUUAUUCUUAGUUGCCAUCAUUCAGUUGGGCACUCUAAGGAGACUGCCGGUGAUAAACCGGAGGAAGGUGGGGAUGACGUCAAAUCAUCAUGCCCCUUAUGACCUGGGCUACACACGUGCUACAAUGGACGGUACAAACGGUUGCCAACCCGCGAGGGGGAGCUAAUCCGAUAAAACCGUUCUCAGUUCGGAUUGUAGGCUGCAACUCGCCUACAUGGAAC